This 21-nucleotide microRNA is filed under the name Ovis aries (sheep). RNAcentral's name for it is "miRNA 28-f". Lineage: Eukaryota; Metazoa; Chordata; Mammalia; Artiodactyla; Bovidae. The record is from RNAcentral.
CUGACUGCCGCCCCCCGCAGG